Molecule: ribosomal RNA, 495 nt
Filed under: uncultured bacterium
Lineage: Bacteria
Description: partial 16S ribosomal RNA
Rfam family: Bacterial small subunit ribosomal RNA
Source: RNAcentral
AUGAACGCUGGCGGCGUGCCUAAUACAUGCAAGUCGAGCGAACGGACGAGAAGCUUGCUUCUCUGAUGUUAGCGGCGGACGGGUGAGUAACACGUGGAUAACCUACCUAUAAGACUGGGAUAACUUCGGGAAACCGGAGCUAAUACCGGAUAAUAUUUUGAACCGCAUGGUUCAAAAGUGAAAGACGGUCUUGCUGUCACUUAUAGAUGGAUCCGCGCUGCAUUAGCUAGUUGGUAAGGUAACGGCUUACCAAGGCAACGAUGCAUAGCCGACCUGAGAGGGUGAUCGGCCACACUGGAACUGAGACACGGUCCAGACUCCUACGGGAGGCAGCAGUAGGGAAUCUUCCGCAAUGGGCGAAAGCCUGACGGAGCAACGCCGCGUGAGUGAGGAAGGUCUUCGGAUCGUAAAACUCUGUUAUUAGGGAAGAACAUAUGUGUAAGUAACUGUGCACAUCUUGACGGUACCUAAUCAGAAAGCCACGGCUAACUACGU